Long non-coding RNA from Cryptomeria japonica (Japanese cedar), 1161 nucleotides. RefSeq lists it as uncharacterized. The transcript is spliced from 2 exons. The record is from RefSeq and is a predicted model, not a curated record. Lineage: Eukaryota; Viridiplantae; Streptophyta; Pinopsida; Cupressales; Cupressaceae.
UCAAUAUUUAUGGAAAAAAUAAUGUGGGUGUUGGUACAAACAGUCCCUCAUGUCACAUCCUAUCUAAACUGAGAGAAAAGCUGUCUCUAGCACAGUUAACCGAUUGGCAAGAAAUGCAGGUUAUAGUACGAGGUGUAGUCUAAAUGAGCACCUGCACUGUUCACCAUUACCAAAUUUCCUUAUAAUUUCCAAUACAUCGAAUUAAAUAGUACUGUAGUAACUUGUUCAUGUUAUGUUAUAUUGCGUGAGAGGAAAGCAACAAGUGUAGCUCUGAUAAACUUCACAAUCAUAUGAUGAGCUUUCAGGCAAAUCCAUUGCCAUGAUUGAAUGCUAUUUUCACUUUAUCUUGUUGAUUUUCUGGACAAGGAUCAGUCUUGUCUGUCACGGUUCAUGAAGUGCACAUACUCAGUGUGUAUAUACAACUUCAGUCUAGAGUAGCCAUGUCCUCCUCUACACUACAACCCAUGCACUUGACAUGUCAUUCAGAAAGCUGAAGAACAGUACUUGUGCACUCCAAAGCAUUGAUACUGUGUUCUUUUUAUUUGAUAUGACGGAUCCUUUGAACUAUCUGCCUUAAAUUGUUCUAGUUGCAUUCCAUUGAUCUAGAUCCAGCAUGUUGGAAUUUGUUUCAUUGACCUCAUUUCUUCUCUUGUAUCAGUCUUUUGACAAGAAGGGAUCUGGUGCAUUGCUGGUGGCCAAAUAUACGCAAAGCCUCUUACUAUGAUCCACUAUGGAUUUGGAGAGCUCUCACUCUGUCAAGAAUAUGUAAGGAGGAAAAUAGUGCCAAAUAAAUUUCUACCUUCAAUGAGUUGCAAUAUUUUUCUUGUUGCACUCUUACAGCAUGAAUGUUGUUGCAGACAUAAAUGUUAAGAUAUGUUCAGGUGCUAUCUUUUCUGAGCUUUUUAUAUCCAUCAACCAUGCUUUCUUCUCAUCCAUCUUCCCAGAUCGCAUUUUCUUUGUUAUUUUCUUGACCUUGCAAGGCUUAUACACAAGGUUCUUCUUUCAAUGGCCGCCCUCUACUCCGUACUCAUGCAUUUUUUUCAGACAUCAUCUCACCCUCCACUCCACUUUCUUCAUUAGUAUAUAUCCCUCCUGAGCUUGUACUCCAAUAAUGUGAAAUAUAUUAUAUGAUCUUUGCAUAACCUUCAUUGAUUUUAUCCA